This 522-nucleotide ribosomal RNA is filed under the name Rhodotorula mucilaginosa. RNAcentral's name for it is "eukaryotic LSU rRNA". It matches the Rfam family "Eukaryotic large subunit ribosomal RNA", at positions 61 to 579 of the family's 3401-position model. The record is from RNAcentral. Lineage: Eukaryota; Fungi; Basidiomycota; Microbotryomycetes; Sporidiobolales; Sporidiobolaceae.
GAAACUAACAAGGAUUCCCCUAGUAGCGGCGAGCGAAGCGGGAAGAGCUCAAAUUUAUAAUCUGGCACCUUCGGUGUCCGAGUUGUAAUCUCUAGAAAUGUUUUCCGCGUUGGACCGCACACAAGUCUGUUGGAAUACAGCGGCAUAGUGGUGAGACCCCCGUAUAUGGUGCGGACGCCCAGCGCUUUGUGAUACAUUUUCGAAGAGUCGAGUUGUUUGGGAAUGCAGCUCAAAUUGGGUGGUAAAUUCCAUCUAAAGCUAAAUAUUGGCGAGAGACCGAUAGCGAACAAGUACCGUGAGGGAAAGAUGAAAAGCACUUUGGAAAGAGAGUUAACAGUACGUGAAAUUGUUGGAAGGGAAACGCUUGAAGUCAGACUUGCUUGCCGAGCAAUCGGUUUGCAGGCCAGCAUCAGUUUUCCGGGAUGGAUAAUGGUAGAGAGAAGGUAGCAGUUUCGGCUGUGUUAUAGCUCUCUGCUGGAUACAUCUUGGGGGACUGAGGAACGCAGUGUGCCUUUGGCGGGG